CAAUAUUCCUCGUUCAUUUCUUUUUCUUUCUAAACGAAUUCUGAAGUAGUAGAAGUGAUACGCGGGUAUUAUACCCCCUAAUUAGCGAAGCUCUGCCUCGUUGUAAGUAUCAUAACCCCUGGAUACGUAUUAGAUACUCUGCCCGAUUGAUCUAGGGUUCCGUAACGGCUGUCGUGGUUCUGCCCGACGUAGUCGUUGGAAUGCCGUCUCGGGGAGGGUAUUACUAAUGUUAAAAUGGGUUAUUAUACUAACGCGUGUGCAUUGUUUAUUUAAUUAGACUAUAACCAGGGAAUCACAAAGGAAAGCCUUAUAAUAGCAAUGUGAGUGAUCCUUCUUUUUAUAUGCUCAUUUUUGUAACUUAGUGUGAAGCCAAUAUAAGCCAGCUGGAGAGCACGGAAGGCUUGGAAAAGUGGCUAUAAAGUUACCUAAGAUAAAAUAGAUGUUUUUAUUAAAUAAAAAGAGGAUUUAUUCCUAUGAAAACGUGUGUACUGCAAAACUUUGGGUUUUAUCCCAUGUGUUUAAUAUUAUGAAAAUAUGGUGGUUU
RNAcentral lists this long non-coding RNA (544 nucleotides) under Helianthus annuus (common sunflower). Its description in RNAcentral is "sRNA HanXRQr2_Chr04g0182361". The record is from RNAcentral. Lineage: Eukaryota; Viridiplantae; Streptophyta; Magnoliopsida; Asterales; Asteraceae.